RNAcentral lists this ribosomal RNA (292 nucleotides) under uncultured bacterium. RNAcentral's name for it is "partial 16S ribosomal RNA". It matches the Rfam family "Bacterial small subunit ribosomal RNA", at positions 505 to 796 of the family's 1533-position model. The record is from RNAcentral.
GUGUCAGCCGCCGCGGUAAUACGUAGGGCGCAAGCGUUGUCCGGAAUUAUUGGGCGUAAAGAGCUCGUAGGCGGUUUGUCGCGUCUGCUGUGAAAACCUAAGGCUCAACCUUGGGCUUGCAGUGGGUACGGGCAGACUAGAGUGCGGUAGGGGUGACUGGAAUUCCUGGUGUAGCGGUGGAAUGCGCAGAUAUCAGGAGGAACACCGAUGGCGAAGGCAGGUCACUGGGCCGCAACUGACGCUGAGGAGCGAAAGCAUGGGGAGCGAACAGGAUUAGAAACCCCAGUAGUCC